UAACCCAAUUCACACUGUCAACGUCAAGACAAAAUUAAACGUAAAUAUUGAAAAUUUAACGGUAUUGAAAUAUGGAAAAAUUACUGGUACUUCGCUCUAAAGGUAUGCUACGACCUUACUGCCACGAAUGUGAAUCCUUGGUGGACCUGGAACCUUUUUAUACCCAUCGCAGGAAUUUGGAUGCCGACGACUCACGAACAUCCUCGGAACCAAUCGUUGAAUAAAAAUGCAAUUGGGAAAACUUAAUAAAAAUAGAGUUUUUCCUCAUGAAAACGGUGAAAACAGCGGGACAAAAGCUGGCCACAUGUGUACAAGAAAACCGGCUUUUCAGGAAAACCGCGGGAAACUGAAUCAUGAUUUAUAUUAUAUUUUACCACACCGGGCAUGCCCCUUCAUUUAACAGGGCUUCCCAAGUUUUAGGCAUUUGUGGUUCUUUAUUAUCCUAAGAAUAACCAGGGCUGAAAACAAUAAGGCCAGAGACUACAACAUAGUCAACGGAGAACUAGGCAUAACCUAUAAGAAAUCAAACCUUUCUAGGAUACUAUCAGGCUAGAAACCUCUUUAAGUUAGUUUCUUUAUGUAUGUUUACAAUUAUAAACCCCUCAUGACUCACAGGUAAAGCCUAAAAUGUAUCUUUUUGUUAUGUAAAUUAUAAAUUUAGAGGUUAAAAUGUUAACGGAGCAAAAUUAUCUAAGUUGUCUUAUAAAAGACCGCCUGGGCUUACCCUUAUUACUAUAAAAUAAAGACAAAAUCUUGUAACUUCGUUACAAGAUAUCGGUCACCUCUUCCAUCUCCAAGUUUUCACACGCGCAUCACAGUGGCUUAGUCUAAACUUUGGACUCAUCCGUAAACAGAACGUGGCUCCAUUAUUCCAUGUUCCAAUUCAAAUGAUUGCGGCAAAAAUUCAGGCAAGCUCUUCGUUGCACUCUGGUUAAUUGAGGCCUAACAGCUCUAACUCUUGACCGCAUACCACUUGCAUGAAGCCUAUUUCUUACAGUUUGUGUUGAUAUGCGCCGCCCUGUAUCAUUAAAAUGAAUAUCAACGAGGUUCUGCGCUAUCAUUGUUGUAUUUUGUGUAGCAGAUCUUACCAAAUUACGAUCUUUACGAGGUGUUGUUACCCUUUCUCUUUGCGGAUAAGGUUUUCUUGUCACCGGGUCAAGCUCUUGAGAUCUCGUGAUUAAUCUUAAUAUUACCGAAUGACUUACUUGAAGUCUUCGAGCAAAACUUCUAACGGAAAAACGUUCUUGAUGUGAAACAACUGCCCGCAUUACUUCCAUUUGAUUUAAAUGUCUUCUUUGACCAACAAGUCUUCCCAAUACAUCAACAUUCAUUUUAAAUAAAAAAAGUUGCAAAUAAAAACAAAGUGAAACUUGAAGUUGAAGAAGUAAUCCAAGUCAUUUCAUCCAUCCAUCCAUUUCAAAGUGAAAUUGUUUCGCUCAAGGCAAAUGUCAAAUUACCAAUGAAUACAUUUCUCAAAGAUUGUGUUUUUUCAAACAAAAAAAAGAAUCUAUCUGCUAAAUAUAUUUUAAAAAAAGAAUGUUUACUUACGAAAUAUUACUGUGUCUGUUUAAUAUUUUUCACCUUUGCUAUUAUAAAUAAUAGCAAAGGUGAUUUAAAAAUUGAUAAAACUACGAGUGUUUUUAAUAGUGGUCCUUAUUUUGUUUUGACUAGUUUAACUUACUUGUGGCGUUCCAUCCCAGACCACUCUUCUACCAACCCUAGCGUUAAUGGUACUGCUAGCAUCUUGGUCUGAAAAACUAAAAAGCAUGGGCGAGACCAUCCUGGCCUGUUCGUGUUCAUCGAAUUGACCAGCGGCUUCGGUUGAUGUACCUGACUGCUUAAAAACUAAUGGCAGACCUGUUUUAUUUACGAUCCAGUAGGGAGCAAAAAUGUUUAUCUAAAAAUUAAUGUAUUAAAGUAUGAAAAUUAAUAAAAUAACUAAAUAAGUA
Molecule: long non-coding RNA, 1949 nt
Organism: Anthonomus grandis grandis
Lineage: Eukaryota; Metazoa; Arthropoda; Insecta; Coleoptera; Curculionidae
Exons: 3
Source: RefSeq, a predicted model, not a curated record